Molecule: ribosomal RNA, 253 nt
Filed under: uncultured bacterium
Lineage: Bacteria
Description: partial 16S ribosomal RNA
Rfam family: Bacterial small subunit ribosomal RNA
Source: RNAcentral
UACGUAGGGGGCAAGCGUUGUUCGGAAUUACUGGGUGUAAAGGGCGCGUAGGCGGCAAUUCAAGUCAUCUGUGAAAUCUCCGGGCUUAACUCGGAACGGUCAGGUGAUACUGCUUUGCUAGAGUGCAGAAGGGGCAAUCGGAAUUCUUGGUGUAGCGGUGAAAUGCGUAGAUAUCAAGAGGAACACCUGAGGUGAAGACGGGUUGCUGGGCUGACACUGACGCUGAGGCGCGAAAGCUAGGGGAGCGAACGGG